This 24-nucleotide non-coding RNA is filed under the name Arabidopsis thaliana (thale cress). The record is from RNAcentral. Lineage: Eukaryota; Viridiplantae; Streptophyta; Magnoliopsida; Brassicales; Brassicaceae.
GGGCGCACGUGGGUGACUAUCCAU